Molecule: small RNA, 59 nt
Filed under: Caenorhabditis elegans
Lineage: Eukaryota; Metazoa; Nematoda; Chromadorea; Rhabditida; Rhabditidae
Description: Unclassified non-coding RNA F09A5.11
Source: RNAcentral
CGGGUCGCGUGGCUGCUCAUUCGGUCUCGCAAGCGCACCACCGAGCGGUCGUCUUCUCC